RNAcentral lists this ribosomal RNA (253 nucleotides) under uncultured bacterium. RNAcentral's name for it is "partial 16S ribosomal RNA". It matches the Rfam family "Bacterial small subunit ribosomal RNA", at positions 524 to 776 of the family's 1533-position model. The record is from RNAcentral.
UACAGAGGUCUCAAGCGUUGUUCGGAUUCAUUGGGCGUAAAGGGUGCGUAGGCGGCGCGGUAAGUCGGGUGUGAAAUCUCGGGGCUUAACUCCGAAACUGCAUUCGAUACUGCCGUGCUUGAGGACUGGAGAGGAGACUGGAAUUUACGGUGUAGCGGUGAAAUGCGUAGAUAUCAGGAGGAACACCAAUGGCGAAGGCAGCUCGCUGGGACGUGACUGACGCUGAGACGCGAAAGCGUGGGGAGCAAACAGG